RNAcentral lists this small RNA (817 nucleotides) under Arabidopsis thaliana (thale cress). Its description in RNAcentral is "ATSL201860". The record is from RNAcentral. Lineage: Eukaryota; Viridiplantae; Streptophyta; Magnoliopsida; Brassicales; Brassicaceae.
UAAACUAAAGUGCUCCCGAGUUACUCUAUCAAGAAUUGGAUCGAGUAGAGUAGAGACCGGUGGUCGAGUUAAGUUUUGAAGUUGAGUGGCUAUGUUGAUUGCUAGCACCAGAGGUCGAGUACUUCUUCGAUGAGCCGGAAUUGGUUGGGACAAAACCACAAGUUGACGGUCGAGUCCUGUGGUUGUAAUCGACUAGUUCCUGAGACUUCGACGGUGAAGGAGGUGGGGAACUCGACUGUGGCGGCGCAGAGAAGGUCGAGUGUGGUGAGAACAAAGUGACGGCGAACGGAAAAGUGAAAUGGUGGAGUAUAGCGACGAACUCAAGUGAAGUUGAGUCGAGUAACUCUUUGGUGAAAGAUGGCGAUUCAUGGUUGACUAGAGAAAUUGGAUUGUCGGUGGUGAGAUGAAGAGAGAUGGGUCGAGUAGGUUUUACUUUUGGGGAAUGUGUGGUCGAGUUCAAAAGGUAUGGUGGAGAUUGAUUCUGUGAUUCUCUCUCCAUCUUAUCUUCAGGAACAAAACGCGUGGUCCACACUUUGUUGACUUGUCUUUUGACUUUGUUCCCUGUUUACUGGGAAAACCUCAGGAAAUCCUCUAUAAACAUGUUAAACUCCCUGUAAGUCUCUGUAUCUUCUGUAUCUUUUGUUGGGCGAGUAAAAUGAUGAUUUAAAUUUUUUUGGGUUUUAAACAUCACUCAUCCUCGACCAAUACACUCGAGUGCAAGGUCUCCAGAUGCAACAAAAAGUUUUAAAAUUUUUGCACUCCACUGUACUGUGUACUCGAUCUCUAGGCCAUCUAUAGAGUAAAAGUUUUGAAUUUU